GACGAACGCUGGCGGCGUGCUUAACACAUGCAAGUCGAACGGAAAGACCCUGCUUUUGUGGGGUGCUCGAGUGGCGAACGGGUGAGUAACACGUGAGUAACCUGCCCUUGACUUUGGGAUAACUUCAGGAAACUGGGGCUAAUACCGGAUAGGAGCUCCUGCUGCAUGGUGGGGGUUGGAAAGUUUCGGCGGUGGGGGAUGGACUCGCGGCUUAUCAGCUUGUUGGUGGGGUAGUGGCUUACCAAGGCUUUGACGGGUAGCCGGCCUGAGAGGGUGACCGGCCACAUUGGGACUGAGGUACGGCCCAGACUCCUACGGGAGGCAGCAGUGGGGAAUAUUGCACAAUGGGCGGAAGCCUGAUGCAGCAACGCCGCGUGCGGGAUGACGGCCUUCGGGUUGUAAACCGCUUUCGCCUGUGACGAAGCGUGAGUGACGGUAAUGGGUAAAGAAGCACCGGCUAACUACGUG
Molecule: ribosomal RNA, 468 nt
Filed under: uncultured bacterium
Lineage: Bacteria
Description: partial 16S ribosomal RNA
Rfam family: Bacterial small subunit ribosomal RNA
Source: RNAcentral